Molecule: transfer RNA, 92 nt
Filed under: Parcubacteria bacterium DG_74_2
Lineage: Bacteria; Candidatus Parcubacteria
Description: tRNA-Ser
Rfam family: tRNA
About the family: Transfer RNA (tRNA) molecules are approximately 80 nucleotides in length. Their secondary structure includes four short double-helical elements and three loops (D, anti-codon, and T loops).
Source: RNAcentral
GGUGGGUUGGCUGAGCGGUCUAAAGCAGGAGUUUGCUAAACUCCCGGGGCCUAAAAAGUCCCGCGCAGGUUCAAAUCCUGCACCCACCGCAA